AGAGUUUGAUCAUGGCUCAGGAUGAACGCUGGCGGCGUGCCUAACACAUGCAAGUCGAGCGAUUCUCUUCGGAGAAGAGCGGCGGACGGGUGAGUAACGCGUGGGUAACCUGCCCUGUACACACGGAUAACAUACCGAAAGGUAUGCUAAUACGGGAUAACAUAAGAAAUUCGCAUGUUUUUCUUAUCAAAGCUCCGGCGGUACAGGAUGGACCCGCGUCUGAUUAGCUAGUUGGUGAGGUAACGGCUCACCAAGGCGACGAUCAGUAGCCGACCUGAGAGGGUGAUCGGCCACAUUGGAACUGAGACACGGUCCAAACUCCUACGGGAGGCAGCAGUGGGGAAUAUUGCACAAUGGGCGAAAGCCUGAUGCAGCAACGCCGCGUGAGCGAUGAAGGCCUUCGGGUCGUAAAGCUCUGUCCUCAAGGAAGAUAAUGACGGUACUUGAGGAGGAAGCCCCGGCUAACUACGUGCCAGCAGCCGCGGUAAUACGUAGGGGGCUAGCGUUAUCCGGAUUUACUGGGCGUAAAGGGUGCGUAGGCGGUCUUUUAAGUCAGGAGUGAAAGGCUACGGCUCAACCGUAGUAAGCUCUUGAAACUGGAGGACUUGAGUGCAGGAGAGGAGAGUGGAAUUCCUAGUGUAGCGGUGAAAUGCGUAGAUAUUAGGAGGAACACCAGUAGCGAAGGCGGCUCUCUGGACUGUAACUGACGCUGAGGCACGAAAGCGUGGGGAGCAAACAGGAUUAGAUACCCUGGUAGUCCACGCCGUAAACGAUGAGUACUAGGUGUCGGGGGUUACCCCCCUCGGUGCCGCAGCUAACGCAUUAAGUACUCCGCCUGGGGAGUACGCUCGCAAGAGUGAAACUCAAAGGAAUUGACGG
This 879-nucleotide ribosomal RNA is filed under the name uncultured bacterium. Its description in RNAcentral is "bacterial SSU rRNA". It matches the Rfam family "Bacterial small subunit ribosomal RNA", at positions 8 to 916 of the family's 1533-position model. The record is from RNAcentral.